RNAcentral lists this ribosomal RNA (380 nucleotides) under uncultured bacterium RSD6. Its description in RNAcentral is "bacterial SSU rRNA". It matches the Rfam family "Bacterial small subunit ribosomal RNA", at positions 975 to 1357 of the family's 1533-position model. Lineage: Bacteria; Bacillati; Bacillota; Clostridia; Eubacteriales; Clostridiaceae. The record is from RNAcentral.
CUAAACUUGACAUCUCCUGCAUUACUCUUAAUCGAGGAAGUCCCUUCGGGGACAGGAAGACAGGUGGUGCAUGGUUGUCGUCAGCUCGUGUCGUGAGAUGUUGGGUUAAGUCCCGCAACGAGCGCAACCCUUAUUGUUAGUUGCUACCAUUUAGUUGAGCACUCUAGCGAGACUGCCCGGGUUAACCGGGAGGAAGGUGGGGAUGACGUCAAAUCAUCUUGCCCCUUAUGUCUAGGGCUACACACGUGCUACAAUGGCUGGUACAGAGAGAUGCUAAACCGUGAGGUGGAGCCAAACUUUAAAACCAGUCUCAGUUCGGAUUGUAGGCUGAAACUCGCCUACAUGAAGCUGGAGUUGCUAGUAAUCGCGAAUCAGAAUGU